UUUUAUGUUUAACAUAUUUUUCACAAUCACUUUCUGGAGACUCAUACAAGGAUGUACACUGUCGAAAGAUAACAGAAACGACCCUAACAAGAUCAAUAAGAGCAACGAAAGAUAUAAGCAAUAAAAAUAAUGAUCUAGAAAUGAAAUUUACAAAUAUAAUUUAUGCAAAGUAUAAUUACUUUUUUGUUGCUUACAUAGAAAAUGAGCUAACGUGAAUGUUUAUACAUAAAAUAGAACAGUCUGAAUUUUAUUUGCAAAUCUCUAAGUAGUCACGGCAGAGAUACCAAACAUUUAAUCUACAAUAUUCCCCUACAGUGAGUCGACACAGAUUGAGACUUACCAACCACAUUGAGUAUAGCUAGCUUAAAGGAAGGGCGAUGAAGUUUUGCGAACCUAGUUUAUAUUAUAACAGAGCAAACAUGCACAUUAAUUAUUUGUUCGACCACGCCUUGUUUGCAUUCACCACGUUUUUCGUUGUCGUCACAUAAAACCGCAUCUCGUAUUUGCAAUGGUUUGACAGGAUCGUGCAAUUUCCAUCGGCGAGUUAAUUCAAGAAAAUAUUCGGGCAUCUACCAUUUUAAAAAAGCUUCUGCAAAAUAUUUGGACAGCUUAACAAAAAAUGGUUAGGCGCCAACGGCUUAUCAUCCAGACGCUCGUCCAGGGGUUCGGCUAUUCGAUUUGAAAUAAAUCGUUUGUACAAUCCGCUAUUGGAAUUUAUUCAAUUAACGAUUAUUUUGGAAUCUGAUCAAAAUAUUAUAUUUGGUGGUUGCACAUCGGGAUUUCUUGAUACAGCGUCUUUCAAACGCACUCGUAAUACCAUGUGAAAGCAACAUAAACGCUAUCUGAGCAGAUUAUUCUCCAAUACGUUAUAGUUGAGAAGACAGCUUCGCUAGCGUCGACGAAGAUAUUUAGUUCAAAUUUGACUUAUUGCUUGUUGUGAAUUGGUCGUGACAACAUCGUGGGGUACGAAUUUCCUUUACGUCUUGCUACUUUUUGUACCAAGCAUGCCAGAAGUCGUAUCAAUUUCCAGGGAUCGGCGUUUUCCAGUUUAUUUUAGAUCUCCAUAGUUCUUGUAUCAUCAAACAUUGACACUUAAGGCUUCUCAACAAUUUGCUUCUUCGUUUUGUCAUGAAUUGCUUUUAGAGAUGUAACUGAGGGUACUUCAGCCUGGCUCCUUCGCCUUCAAUUGUGGCAUUUACCAACACCUCUGGACAGUUGUAGCGUCCCUGAUGCAUACAUAUGCAUACUAUGUGCAAACAUAACU
This is a long non-coding RNA of Glossina fuscipes, 1264 nucleotides long. RefSeq lists it as uncharacterized. The transcript has 3 exons. The record is from RefSeq and is a predicted model, not a curated record. Lineage: Eukaryota; Metazoa; Arthropoda; Insecta; Diptera; Glossinidae.